This 433-nucleotide ribosomal RNA is filed under the name uncultured bacterium. Its description in RNAcentral is "partial 16S ribosomal RNA". It matches the Rfam family "Bacterial small subunit ribosomal RNA", at positions 29 to 507 of the family's 1533-position model. The record is from RNAcentral.
AACGAACGCUGGCGGCAUGCCUAACACAUGCAAGUCGAACGAGACCUCCGGGUCUAGUGGCGCACGGGUGCGUAACGCGUGGGAACCUGCCCUUAGGUUCGGAAUAACUCCCCGAAAGGGGUGCUAAUACCGGAUAAUGUCUUCGGACCAAAGAUUUAUCGCCUUUGGAUGGGCCCGCGUUGGAUUAGCUAGUUGGUAGGGUAAAAGCCUACCAAGGCGACGAUCCAUAGCUGGUCUGAGAGGAUGAUCAGCCACACUGGGACUGAGACACGGCCCAGACUCCUACGGGAGGCAGCAGUGGGGAAUAUUGGACAAUGGGCGAAAGCCUGAUCCAGCAAUGCCGCGUGAGUGAUGAAGGCCUUAGGGUUGUAAAGCUCUUUUACCCGGGAUGAUAAUGACAGUACCGGGAGAAUAAGCACCGGCUAACUCCGUG